AGCCAACCAGUCCAAUUUUUCAUUACAUGGCAACUGUGACCUAAUUAAUGUGGCAACGUUAAAAGGUUACUCAAUACUGGAGUAACACAUACUGGAAGCUCUGCUCUUUGCUCUCGGCCUUCGGUUUUGUCUCUCUUGUUCUUCUUAUUCUUAAUGGGUUGUUCUGAUGGUCAACUUCAGGUAGGGCUCCACUUCAACGCUUGUCCUUA
RNAcentral lists this long non-coding RNA (209 nucleotides) under Vigna radiata. Its description in RNAcentral is "long non-coding RNA (VRAD_LNC004116)". The record is from RNAcentral. Lineage: Eukaryota; Viridiplantae; Streptophyta; Magnoliopsida; Fabales; Fabaceae.